GGGUCAGCAGGUCGGUCGUGCCACUGGUAUGCACUGGCUUUGCUGAUUCCUCCCUCUUGUAGAACCGUAAUGCCAUUAAGUUGGUGUUGCGGGGAAACAGGACUGUUACUUUGAAAAAAUUAGAGUGUUUAAAGCAGGCUAACGCUUGAAUACAUUAGCAUGGAAUAAUGAAAUAGGACGUUUGAUCUUAUUUUGUUGGUUUCUAGGAUCGACGUA
RNAcentral lists this ribosomal RNA (216 nucleotides) under uncultured Glomus. Its description in RNAcentral is "partial small subunit ribosomal RNA". The stretch from base 39 to 216 matches the Rfam family "Eukaryotic small subunit ribosomal RNA", at positions 685 to 864 of the family's 1831-position model. Lineage: Eukaryota; Fungi; Glomeromycota; Glomeromycetes; Glomerales; Glomeraceae. The record is from RNAcentral.